AGAGUUUGAUCCUGGCUCAGAUUGAACGCUGGCGGCAGGCCUAACACAUGCAAGUCGAGCGGAAACGAGUUAACUGAACCUUCGGGGGACGUUAACGGCGUCGAGCGGCGGACGGGUGAGUAAUGCCUAGGAAAUUGCCCUGAUGUGGGGGAUAACCAUUGGAAACGAUGGCUAAUACCGCAUGAUGCCUACGGGCCAAAGAGGGGGACCUUCGGGCCUCUCGCGUCAGGAUAUGCCUAGGUGGGAUUAGCUAGUUGGUGAGGUAAGGGCUCACCAAGGCGACGAUCCCUAGCUGGUCUGAGAGGAUGAUCAGCCACACUGGAACUGAGACACGGUCCAGACUCCUACGGGAGGCAGCAGUGGGGAAUAUUGCACAAUGGGCGCAAGCCUGAUGCAGCCAUGCCGCGUGUGUGAAGAAGGCCUUCGGGUUGUAAAGCACU
This 440-nucleotide ribosomal RNA is filed under the name Vibrio sp. EF1A-B655. RNAcentral describes it as "bacterial SSU rRNA". It matches the Rfam family "Bacterial small subunit ribosomal RNA", at positions 8 to 434 of the family's 1533-position model. The record is from RNAcentral. Lineage: Bacteria; Pseudomonadati; Pseudomonadota; Gammaproteobacteria; Vibrionales; Vibrionaceae.